GGACAACGGCGCCGUUCACGAACCGUUUGCAGCUUUAACUUUUUCAUGUCUGUGUGCGAAUAGCCGUCAUGUGUUUUGUAAUCGGUCAGUUAUAAAUCAGAUUGCAGGUAGAUGAUGGUGCUAAUUGGAGUUUUGUAGCUACGGUUCAAAUGCCAGUUGAUUUGUAAGCAUGGUUUUUCACCUCAUCAACUUAUGAAGUUGUCAUCUUCUGAACUAAAACGGCUAACUGCAAAAUAAAAGAAGGAAAGAAAAACAAAUCAACUGUUUGGUCAGUGAGUGGAGUCCAGCUCAAGCACAGCAGAUCCUCCAUACCUGGACAGAAAUACCCACAGAGUCAACCACAGGAAUGAAUGACAAACAUCUGCUGCAGCUGUGCGUCACUGCGUUUCUGCUCGACUCUCAGUCAUGUUGUCCUUGGCCCCCCUCUCACUCCGUCUCGUGGCCUCUGGUUGCCAAGGAAGCAGGCGAUCAGUAGCAACCGUCGUCUCCGGCAACAAGACAUCCAAGUUGGUGAGGGAUAGACUGAGGAUGGAGGUGGAGAAGAUGAGGGGUCAG
Long non-coding RNA from Amphiprion ocellaris (clown anemonefish), 555 nucleotides. NCBI's taxonomy places the organism in Eukaryota, Metazoa, Chordata, Actinopteri, Pomacentridae. The record is from Ensembl.